This 690-nucleotide ribosomal RNA is filed under the name Streptococcus salivarius. RNAcentral's name for it is "bacterial SSU rRNA". It matches the Rfam family "Bacterial small subunit ribosomal RNA", at positions 119 to 796 of the family's 1533-position model. Lineage: Bacteria; Bacillati; Bacillota; Bacilli; Lactobacillales; Streptococcaceae. The record is from RNAcentral.
AGGUAACCUGCCUUGUAGCGGGGGAUAACUAUUGGAAACGAUAGCUAAUACCGCAUAACAAUGGAUGACAUCAUGUCAUUUAUUUGAAAGGGGCAAUUGCUCCACUACAAGAUGGACCUGCGUUGUAUUAGCUAGUAGGUGAGGUAACGGCUCACCUAGGCGACGAUACAUAGCCGACCUGAGAGGGUGAUCGGCCACACUGGGACUGAGACACGGCCCAGACUCCUACGGGAGGCAGCAGUAGGGAAUCUUCGGCAAUGGGGGCAACCCUGACCGAGCAACGCCGCGUGAGUGAAGAAGGUUUUCGGAUCGUAAAGCUCUGUUGUAAGUCAAGAACGAGUGUGAGAGUGGAAAGUUCACACUGUGACGGUAGCUUACCAGAAAGGGACGGCUAACUACGUGCCAGCAGCCGCGGUAAUACGUAGGUCCCGAGCGUUGUCCGGAUUUAUUGGGCGUAAAGCGAGCGCAGGCGGUUUGAUAAGUCUGAAGUUAAAGGCUGUGGCUCAACCAUAGUUCGCUUUGGAAACUGUCAAACUUGAGUGCAGAAGGGGAGAGUGGAAUUCCAUGUGUAGCGGUGAAAUGCGUAGAUAUAUGGAGGAACACCGGUGGCGAAAGCGGCUCUCUGGUCUGUAACUGACGCUGAGGCUCGAAAGCGUGGGGAGCGAACAGGAUUAGAUACCCUGGUAGUCC